Molecule: ribosomal RNA, 572 nt
Filed under: uncultured soil bacterium
Lineage: Bacteria
Description: bacterial SSU rRNA
Rfam family: Bacterial small subunit ribosomal RNA
Source: RNAcentral
UUUGAUCAUGGCUCAGAGUGAACGCUGGCGGCAGGCCUAACACAUGCAAGUCGAACGGCAGCGGGUCAGUAGCAAUACUGAUGCCGGCGAGUGGCGGACGGGUGAGGAAUACAUCGGAAUCUACCUUGUCGUGGGGGAUAACGUAGGGAAACUUACGCUAAUACCGCAUACGAACUACGGUUGAAAGCGGCGGACUCGCAAGAGCGUCGCGCGAUUGGAUGAGCCGAUGUCCGAUUAGCUAGUUGGCGGGGUAAAGGCCCACCAAGGCGACGAUCGGUAGCUGGUCUGAGAGGAUGAUCAGCCACACUGGAACUGAGACACGGUCCAGACUCCUACGGGAGGCAGCAGUGGGGAAUAUUGGACAAUGGGCGCAAGCCUGAUCCAGCCAUGCCGCGUGUGUGAAGAAGGCCUUCGGGUUGUAAAGCACUUUUGUUGGGGAAGAAAAGCACUGGGUUAAUACCCUGGUGUUCUGACGGUACCCAAAGAAUAAGCACCGGCUAACUUCGUGCCAGCAGCCGCGGUAAUACGAAGGGUGCAAGCGUUACUCGGAAUUACUGGGCGUAAAGCGUGCG